UGUCAAUGGUAAACUGACCUGGCACACUGGUGGGUGUGUCUUAGGGAAAGCUGCUUCCCUCCCAGCUCUGUUUUAGUUAGUCCUGAACUUGGUCCGGUGUCCAAGCCCCACCUCCAGAGUCAAGUCCUGCCUCCUAUCUCAAGAUAAUCAGAAGGAGCGGAAGUCUGAAAACAACCAAUCAUCCUGGAAGAAGACCCUGAGCUUUAGAUAAGACUACAGCUCCAGCUGACACCUUGAUUUCAGCCCCAUGAGACCCUGAGCAGAGAAUCCGGUUGAGCCGUGCUUGGAUUUUGACCUAUAGAGCUGUGAGAUAAUACAUUUGUGUUGCUUUAGUUGAUGCACUUCUGUCAAUUUGUUACACAGCAAUGAGAACUGAAUAAGGGAGAAACAAAUGCUGGGUAGACAGAAGCGACGGAUGUGCAUGAGGAGCUGAGACAGACAGCUGCCUGGAAUUGAGCCUUACUUAGCCUGGAAGCAUCCUGUUGUACCUUGUCAUCUGGCUCUGUGGACAGGCCUUUCUGGUCUUCACACUGAUGCAGAUGGCAGCAUGGAGUAGUGGUUAAGCCCGUGGACUUUGGAAUCAGGUUUUCUGCGCUCAAGUCUUGUCACUGCGAUCUACUAGCUGUGUGACCUUGGAUGCCAGACACUGUCCUGAGCACUAUCCAUGUGUCAUCACUUAAUCUUCACGGCAGCUUAUGAGGUAGGUACUAUUAUGAUCCCCAAUUUUGGUGAUGGGAAACUGAGGCAGAGAGCUGUUAGUAACAUUUAAAGUCACACAGCUAAUAAAUGGCAGAACUGGGAUAUGAACCCAG
Molecule: long non-coding RNA, 812 nt
Filed under: Homo sapiens (human)
Lineage: Eukaryota; Metazoa; Chordata; Mammalia; Primates; Hominidae
Description: HSALNT0228827
Source: RNAcentral